AACAAAGUUGCCCCCCAAGUCAGGAAGGGCCCCCCCAGUAAUAAGAGCCAUCAGGUCCUCACCGUGCCUGCCACAGCUGUGUGCACCUUCUGUGAAAUCACUCCUGCCACUCGCUGCAGGGGUACCAUUACUGUCCCCGUACUACUAAGGAGGAAACUGAGGCCCAAGGAAAUGAAGUCACGGGCCCAAGAUGACACAGCCAGAGAGGAACAGGGAGGGUCCCCUCGAUACUCACACAGGAAAUGACCUCGAACCCUGGCUCAGGCUCAUCAUCGGGCGGCGGGGGGAGGUCAGGGGAGGCCCCCUCAGGGUGUGGCUGCAGGGCUCCCCGGAAGAAGUUGGUCACUCGGGAGAAGCUGCUGAAGGUGGUGGAGUAGGGGUCCUGGAGGAAGCGCUGGGGACAAGGCCGGGGACGGUCACAGUCCACCCCUUCUCAUCCCUCCCUGCCCACAUCCCACCAGGCCUGGCACCAGCGACACUCACAGACACCACAUUGGAGCUGUCCUGGUCAAAGAGCUGCAGGUGGUAGAAGGAGUUGGAGAGGGCGGAGGAGUCGUGGGGGAAGACAAGGUAGAGGCGAGAGUCCUGCGGGGAGCUGGGAGGCAGGAGGUGACACACAGGUGACGUACAGGUACGGCCCAGGGUCCCAGGCUGUCCUUGCCCACCCUACAUUUGUUCCAGUUGUGGCGUCCCAGCCACCCUUGGGGAAUCCCUCAUCUUGGGGGUGUUAAGGGGGAGGCCUGGGACCAGCACUGGCCCCCAGGGGUGGGCACAUGGCUCAGGGCGGGCCAGUGAGGGCCUUGCACCUCCCUGGCCAGGGUGACUGACUCAGGGGCGAGCCAACGAGAGGCAGCCCUGGGAUCCUGCUGGAAUGUGGAGAAAAAGUCACUUUGUAGCCACCGGGAUUGGUAAGCCAGGGCUACUGGGGGCCCAGACAGUGAUAGAACCUCAGAGGAAAAGAGAGCAACUCUUUCCAACGUUCUGGGCCCUGGGCCCUGCCUGAAAUCAACACUGCCCUUUGGUUUCUCAGUUACUUGAGCCAGUUGACUCCUUUUUCCUUCCUCUAAAUCAGUGUGCAUGUGUUUCUCUCACUGCCCCGAGAGGUCAGGCUGCCGCUGUGGAGGGACAGGGCCUGGUCAGAGGCCCAGCACGGAGAGAAGACUCACCUGGCCAACAGCAGGGAGAGAAAACUCCCGAGCAUUCCUCAGUGUCAAGUUCUGGCAACACCUCUUCCUGAAAGGCACCUGCACUUCCCAGAAGGAUCAGGUGGCUUCUCUGGAUGUCCCCAGCAGCCUGUGUGACUCCAGGAAGAGUCGGGGUCUCGCUCUUGCUCAGGCUGGUCUUGAACUGCUGGCCUUAAGUGAUCCGUUCGCCUCAGCUCCCAGAGUACUAGAAUUGCCUGGUGGCCCGGAUUAAAGAGGAAGACAACUUUGAACAGACAGUUCCCUGCCUUAACAAGAGGGGUCAGAUUAAAACGUGAAAGCUCCAAGAAUGUUGCAGCGAACACCAUUUCAGAGCUCACAGUGUAGUUCAGGAAUUAAGAUACUUGGAGUAGCAGUGGAGGAAGAACCUCAGUUGCCAAGAUUUGCUGCUGUCAGCCUUCAACCCAAGUCAAUGAAUUAAGUCAACCUGCAUAGCCUAAAAAUGCCCAAAUGCCGCAUCUGAUUAAAUGGAGGAGAAGAGGUGGUUGCUUUAUUUGCCUUGUUUACCCACCCUGCCCAGUAAUGUCUGUAAUUGUGAAGA
Long non-coding RNA from Lemur catta (Ring-tailed lemur), 1743 nucleotides. RefSeq lists it as uncharacterized. Lineage: Eukaryota; Metazoa; Chordata; Mammalia; Primates; Lemuridae. The record is from RefSeq and is a predicted model, not a curated record. The transcript has 3 exons.